GAGUCAGGACUGCCCUCAAGUGGGGUCCCAGCUGUGCCUCCCUUGUGACACUCCAUCUCUGUCCUUUGCAGCAGGGGGACCCAACCCUGAUAUCAACACCAACCUGGCCAACCUCACUGAGCAGUGCCGGAGCAUGGUCUUGACCAAAGCAUCCACUGAGGUGGCCAUCAAGGGAAGGGCUGGGUGUUGGAGUGCGUCGGACCCAGGACCUACUGCCCCCAGACCUGGUGAUGGCCCGAAGGGAGGAACGCUGGAUCGUGCUGUAGCUGGACUUGGAGCCAACGGCAGGGGUACGGCCAGGAACCCUGGAUGCGACAGGCUCUGUCCCAGUCUCUCACACAGAUAUAUCCCUCAGCCAGCCCAGCUCAGGGAGCAGUGGGAACAGGUCAUCUCAUCCUGUCAAACCAAGCAACAUGGGUCCCAUUGAGGCUCAGAUGGAAGAUCCCAUGCACCUCCUGGAGAGGAUGUGUCCAGGAUCCUGGAGACUGUUUCCUGCUGCUGGAGGUUUGAGCAGGGAGAGAUCACUCACUGUCACGACCCAGGGGCCUUCAACCCGGGUCUGCAGGGUUCAUGGGAGCAGCCACACUCCAACCCUCCACCCAGAAGCCUGCUGAAAAUUGCUUACCUAGGACCCAUGAAGUUCAGCCCCAGUUUGAGGCUCCACUCCUGAGGUCCUAUUGGGGAGUCCCAGAAAAGCUAAUUGGCCCCCUGGCCCUGCUUAAGACAGCAGCGGGAACAGGAAGCUGACUGAACACCAGGGCUGCUCCCUGUUCUGGACCGUGUGGUGCCUGUUUCUGCUGCCGCUCCCCUGGCUUGGUUUCCUGGCAUCUGAUUUGUGGUUCUGAUCGCAAGUUUGUCUUUUGCUGCUGAUCUUCCAGUACCCUGACCCAGCUGACUCUCGACUCCUGUCAUGGGAGUUUGGACCCUGGCUCUGACCAGUAGACCUGGCUGCCCUUGACCCAGCCUGACCUUGACUUUUGUACAAUUUCUCCAAUGCCCUUUUCUGCUCUCCAGCAAGAUACACCAGUCCCUUGGCUCCCAAAGUCCUAGUUGCCCGCUAUUCAAGGGCUGAGGGGUAGUGCUUGUAUUACCCCCACCCCCACCUCAGCUACUUUUCCGAUGGGAAUUUCCCUAGAGCAGAGGAGAAAUCUGCCCUUCUCCUAGGAUCAGUCCCAGCAGUAAUUCCACCCACGCUGGCCUCAGCUCAGCUACUUUGUUCACCUGGGGUCAGGGACCACUUUUGAAGCCCUUAGCGUGUGGGUGGAGGUGGGAGCAGAGGCUGAAGCUCGAGCAGUUUCCACCAAAGAGCACCACCCUCUCUUUCUGUGGUCUGGCUAGGGCUCACCAUCCAUCUUGGAGCUGAACACCAGAUGGGAGCUGAUAGAUUGUCCUUGGCGGGCAGUGUUCUGUGUGUGACGGAGCUGUGUGCCAGAGAGGGCCAGGAGCAGAUGCACCACGCCUGGCCAGGACCGGGCUAAACAGCCUGUAAUGCUAGACAGUCAGCCAGUGAGGCCAGUUUGCAGAAUGCGGAAGAGCCCUUUGGCGAUGGUUUGGGGGAUUCACCAUGGAGGUGUCAGCAGCUGCAGUGCCUGGGGUCCCCAUGGGCCAAGCCUCCACUCCUGACACUCCAGGCUAAUCUCCCACUGCUCUCAGUGGGGCUUGGCUUUAGCUGCUGGGCCUGCGUGCCUAGACAGAGGACUCAGGUAUUUCCAUCAGGCUGCUCAAUGGCACUCACUCUCCUCCUGGUAAUAGCUCACCUUAAGUGAUCACUUUCCUUACAGUGUGUACGGUAACACCCAUU
Long non-coding RNA from Chelonia mydas (Green sea turtle), 1801 nucleotides. RefSeq lists it as uncharacterized. Lineage: Eukaryota; Metazoa; Chordata; Testudines; Cheloniidae. The record is from RefSeq and is a predicted model, not a curated record. The transcript has 5 exons.